Molecule: ribosomal RNA, 21 nt
Filed under: Collybiopsis dichroa
Lineage: Eukaryota; Fungi; Basidiomycota; Agaricomycetes; Agaricales; Omphalotaceae
Description: Gymnopus dichrous partial 18S ribosomal RNA
Source: RNAcentral
AACCUGGCGGUAGGAUCAUUA